This 431-nucleotide ribosomal RNA is filed under the name uncultured bacterium. Its description in RNAcentral is "partial 16S ribosomal RNA". It matches the Rfam family "Bacterial small subunit ribosomal RNA", at positions 29 to 507 of the family's 1533-position model. The record is from RNAcentral.
AACGAACGCUGGCGGCAGGCUUAACACAUGCAAGUCGAGCGCCCCGCAAGGGGAGCGGCAGACGGGUGAGUAACGCGUGGGAACGUACCUUUUGGUUCGGAACAACUCCGGGAAACUGGAGUUAAUACCGGAUAAGCCCUAACGGGGAAAGAUUUAUCGCCGAAAGAUCGGCCCGCGUCUGAUUAGCUCGUUGGUGAGGUAACGGCUCACCAAGGCGACGAUCAGUAGCUGGUCUGAGAGGAUGAUCAGCCACACUGGGACUGAGACACGGCCCAGACUCCUACGGGGGGGAGCAGUGGGGAAUAUUGGACAAUGGGCGCAAGCCUGGUCCAGCCAUGCCGCGUGAGUGAUGAAGGCCUUAGGGUUGUAAAGCUCUUUUGUCCGGGAAGAUAAUGACUGUACCGGAAGAAUAAGCCCCGGCUAACUUCGUG